This 295-nucleotide long non-coding RNA is filed under the name Trifolium pratense (red clover). RNAcentral's name for it is "long non-coding RNA (TPRA_LNC011306)". The record is from RNAcentral. Lineage: Eukaryota; Viridiplantae; Streptophyta; Magnoliopsida; Fabales; Fabaceae.
UGUUUAGAAAAGAGAGAAUGAAAACUUCAGUUCUACUUCUUUCUACACGUAAAGUGAGUAUUCAGUAUGAACGUAUACCUUGUAUAUGAAGGCUUCUUAUUUCCUCUUAUAUUUUUGUUUUUGAGCUUCUGUAGAGUCAAGUCCAAAGGAUUUUUACUUAUUUGUUCAACUAGCUUAUGAUCUAUCAGAUGCUUUCUACAUUGGAGCUUCUGGUCUUCCAUUAAAUGUGAUUGCAACCAAUGUUUCACAAUGCAAUUGCAUUGCUUUACAUGAUAUUCUUUUUUUUUAUAAGCAC